Molecule: ribosomal RNA, 253 nt
Filed under: uncultured bacterium
Lineage: Bacteria
Description: partial 16S ribosomal RNA
Rfam family: Bacterial small subunit ribosomal RNA
Source: RNAcentral
UACGAAGGUCCCUAGCGUUGUUCGGAAUCAUUGGGCGUAAAGCGCAUGUAGGUGGCUUUGUAAGUCGGGCGUGAAAGCCCCGGGCUCAACCCGGGAAGUGCACUCGAAACUGCUUAGCUUGAGUACGGAAGAGGUGAGUGGAAUACCUGGUGUAGUGGUGAAAUACGUAGAUAUCAGGUGGAACAUCAGUGGCGAAGGCGGCUCACUGGUCCAGUACUGACACUGAGAUGCGAAAGCAUGGGGAUCAAACAGG